This 468-nucleotide ribosomal RNA is filed under the name uncultured bacterium. RNAcentral describes it as "partial 16S ribosomal RNA". It matches the Rfam family "Bacterial small subunit ribosomal RNA", at positions 28 to 507 of the family's 1533-position model. The record is from RNAcentral.
GACGAACGCUGGCGGCGUGCUUAACACAUGCAAGUCGAACGGAAAGACCCUGCUUUUGUGGGGUUCUCGAGUGGCGAACGGGUGAGUAACACGUGAGUAACCUGCCCUUGUCUUUGGGAUAACUUCAGGAAACUGGGGCUAAUACCGGAUAGAAGCUCCUGCUGCAUGGUGGGGGUUGGAAAGUUUCGGCGGUUGGGGAUGGACUCGCGGGUUAUCAGCUUGUUAGUGGGGUAGUGGCUUACCAAGGCUUUGACGGGUAGCCGGCCUGAGCGGUUGACCGGCGACAUGGGGCCUGAGAGAGGGCGCAGACGCCAACGGGAGGCAGCAGUCGGGAAUAUUACACAAUGGGCGGAAGCCUGAUGCAGCGACGCCGGGUGCGGAAUGACGGCCUUCGGGUUGUAAACCGCUUUCGCCUGUGACGAGGCGUGAGUGACGGUAAUGGGUAAAGAAGCACCGGCUAACUACGUG